This 203-nucleotide long non-coding RNA is filed under the name Capsicum annuum. RNAcentral describes it as "long non-coding RNA (CANN_LNC011207)". Lineage: Eukaryota; Viridiplantae; Streptophyta; Magnoliopsida; Solanales; Solanaceae. The record is from RNAcentral.
AUCCUUUUUCUCGAUCAAAAUUCCAUUUUCAACAUAUUUUACCUUUAAGAUCUCGAUCUAUGGCGAUUUCAUAGUGGUUUUAGAGAUUUCUUCCAUGGAUAAGUUUAUAAAUUUUUAUUCCAUUAUUUUUCAUUAAUUUUAUCUUCAAAACAAACAACUUCAAAUUCUUGAUUUCAAAAGGCAAAUUUUUUUGGAGGGGGUGG